Molecule: RNA transcript, 1013 nt
Organism: Fundulus heteroclitus (mummichog)
Lineage: Eukaryota; Metazoa; Chordata; Actinopteri; Cyprinodontiformes; Fundulidae
Gene name: voltage-dependent calcium channel beta subunit-associated regulatory protein-like
Exons: 5
Source: RefSeq, a predicted model, not a curated record
CGGGAUAAUUUGAGAGACCCUUCAUCCCUCAGCUUUACCUCACUGUCUACGUCACGUGGUGCGCCUCUGACGGGGCGGUGGGCGUGUCCUAAACGGUGGGGUUUCAUUCAUAAAUACUUAUAGCUUUAAAAAGACCACAUUAAAGUGCUCACAGGAGUGUUUUGUGUUGCUGCCUUCGCCCCUCCGCCUCCCGUAUGGACCAGGCUGGUCGAGUAGCCAUGCAGCACUUUUGUCCUCUUGCUCCGGGGCCAGUGGGCCACCCCUGAGGGGGAAGCACUGAUUCUCUGGCUCGGUGGGCUGAGGAUGCAGCAACGGAGCUGAGGAGGAGAGUCCUGACACACACACACACACACACACACAAAUCCAGAGCUGCUGCUGCUGCUGCGCACUGCCCUCCAUCAGGGUAUGAUCACUGGGCUGGCAGAAAGCAGGAUGUGGUGCAGCAGUAUACUGCAAAGGAAAGCGUUUCGGUCCCGGUCUGAUGUGUUUUCCAGAAACAGUUUUCCUGCUCACUUGGUAUAGCUGCGUAUGGACAUCAGCUGGCUGGCAGCGGGGGGAACUAGGUAACAGAUUAAAGAUUGUGUUACUGAAGUUGAGCGCUGCAGUGAUUGGCUGGCAAGCACGAGGAGCUGAAUGCUGCUGGCAUGUUGCUUUUUCCUCGCUGGGGGGGACUCUCUAAUUGGCUUGGACCAUGAGCAAUGAGUCUACCGUCUGGAACAUCCUACCAGAAAACUCCACAGAGAUCCCAUUUGAAGCGGAGGAGCAGCAAGAUGGCUACGUGCUCCUCCUGGUGAUCCUCUCGAUCUUUCUGGUAGGAACACUGGUCAGCGUCUCUGUCUUCCUGGUCGUUUGCCGUCGCUGCUGUCGAGGAGGGCAGUUCUGUGCAAGGGCCAACGAUGACCCCGAGAAAACUGCCCCUUUCAUGGGGGAGUCUCAUCCCACCAAUGGUAAGUAAUCCAGGAACUGUCACAGUCAGCAGUGGAAGAUCUACAGCCAUUACUGUAUAAUGUCGC